RNAcentral lists this ribosomal RNA (253 nucleotides) under uncultured bacterium. Its description in RNAcentral is "partial 16S ribosomal RNA". It matches the Rfam family "Bacterial small subunit ribosomal RNA", at positions 524 to 776 of the family's 1533-position model. The record is from RNAcentral.
UACGGAGGGGGCUAGCGUUGUUCGGAAUUACUGGGCGUAAAGCGCACGUAGGCGGAUCUUUAAGUCAGGGGUGAAAUCCUGGAGCUCAACUCCAGAACUGCCUUUGAUACUGAGGGUCUUGAGUUCGGGAGAGGUGAGUGGAACUGCGAGUGUAGAGGUGAAAUUCGUAGAUAUUCGCAAGAACACCAGUGGCGAAGGCGGCUCACUGGCCCGAUACUGACGCUGAGGCGCGAAAGCGUGGGGAGCAAACAGG